CCAAAAAAUCCCAAAAAAUCCAAAAAAGAAUCCAAAAUAAAUCCCAACAAAAUUUUGGGGAUUUUGGGAUGGAUUUUUGAGACGAAUUUUGGGGAUUUUGGGAUGAAUUUUGGGGAUUUUGGGCUGGAUUUUUGAGACGAAUUUUGAGGAUUUUGGGCUGGAUUUUUGGGAUGAAUUUUGGGGAUUUUGGGCUGGAUUUUUGGGAUGAAUUUUGGGGAUUUUGGGCUGGAUUUUUGGGAUAAAUUUGGGUUUUUUUGGGAUGAAUUUUUGGGAUGAAUUUUGGGGAUUUUGGGCUGGAUUUUUGAGACGAAUUUUGGGGAUUUUGGGCUGGAUUUUUGAGACGAAUUUUGGGGAUUUUGGGCUGGAUUUUUGGGAUGAAUUUUGGGGAUUUUGGGAUGGAUUUUUGGGAUGAAUUUUGGGGAUUUUGGGAUGGAUUUUUGGGAUAAAUUCGGGGUUUUUUGGGAUGGAUUUUUGGGAUGAAUUUUGGGGAUUUUGGGAUGGAUUUUUGGGAUAAAUUUGGGUUUUUUUGGGAGGGAUUUUUGGGAUGAAUUUUGGGGAUUUUGGGCUGGUUUUUUGAGACGAAUUUUGGGGAUUUUGGGCUGGAUUUUUGAGACGAAUUUUGGGGAUUUUGGGCUGGAUUAUUGGGAUGAAUUUUGGGGAUUUUGGGAUGGAUUUUUGGGAUGAAUUUUGGGGAUUUUGGGGAUGGAUUUUGGGACAGAUUUGGGUAUUUUUGGGCUAAAUUUGGGGUUUUUUGGCGGGAUUUUUGAGACGAAUUUUGGGGAUUUUGGGCUGGAUUUUUGAGACGAAUUUUGGGGAUUUUGGGCUGGAUUUUUGGGAUGAAUUUUGGGGAUUUUGGGCUGGAUUUUUGAGACGAAUUUUGGGGAUUUUGGGCUGGAUUUUUGGGAUGAAUNNNNNNNNNNNNNNNNNNNNUCCAGAGGAUCCCGAGGAUUCCUGGAGCCUCCUGGUGAGCAGCGCCCUGGAGGCGGCCGUGGUUUAUCGGCGGAUCCUCUCCCGGGGGCUUUCGGAUCCUCUGGAGCUCCCCGGGAGCCGCGGCUCCGACGCCGUCGUUUGCGCCAAAGUCACCGACGUCGAUUUCGACGGCGCCGCCGAAAUCCUGCUGGGCACCUACGGCCAGGUGAGAGCCCGGGAAUUCCCAAUU
Molecule: long non-coding RNA, 1159 nt
Filed under: Cyanistes caeruleus (blue tit)
Lineage: Eukaryota; Metazoa; Chordata; Aves; Passeriformes; Paridae
Description: lncRNA (ENSCCEG00000004218.1)
Source: RNAcentral